Molecule: ribosomal RNA, 481 nt
Filed under: Sungouiella intermedia
Lineage: Eukaryota; Fungi; Ascomycota; Pichiomycetes; Serinales; Metschnikowiaceae
Also listed under: 1 other name
Description: LSU rRNA
Rfam family: Eukaryotic large subunit ribosomal RNA
Source: RNAcentral
AAACCAACAGGGAUUGCCUCAGUAACGGCGAGUGAAGCGGCAAAAGCUCAAAUUUGAAAUCCUUCGGGAGUUGUAAUUUGUAGGUUGGGAGACCCCGCGGCUAGUGGCACCAAGUCCCUUGGAACAGGGCGCCUUAGAGGGUGAGAGCCCCGUAGGUACCACAACACCGUCUUGUGUCUCCUCUCCAAAGAGUCGAGUUGUUUGGGAAUGCAGCUCAAAGUGGGUGGUAAAUUCCAUCUAAAGCUAAAUACCGGCGAGAGACCGAUAGCGAACAAGUACAGUGAUGGAAAGAUGAAAAGCACUUUGAAAAGAGAGUGAAACAGUACGUGAAAUUGUUGAAAGGGAAGGGCUUGCAAGCAGACACGGCCUUCGUGCCGGGCCAGCAUCGGUUGCUAGGGGUGGAUAAGGAACAAGGAAUGUAGCUCCUCGGAGUAUUAUAGCCUUGCGCGAUACACCCACUGGCGACCGAGGCCUGCGGUAU